UUGUUCCCACCUGCUGUGGCCAGAGGCGUGUCCUAGAGAAUCUAGGUCAAGAGGCGUGGCCACUCUCUCCUGCUCUGUUUCCAGCUCAGCUGCAGCUCAUCUCCACUAAUCACCUAGCAGUUAUCUACCCGGGCUGUUCACCUCUUCAGCGCCAGUUUGUUAACAACCAUUCCAGUGAUUCUGUCUCUGGACCUGCUGCUACCCUGCUGAUACCUGCCUUCCUGCUGCCUGCUCGCCUCACCACUCAGCUCUCAUCGCAACCUGCCUCUUCACCCAGCUCUCAUCACCGCUCACCCUCCGUCGAGUCUCAGCCUGCCUGGCCACACACCUGUCUGCCGACCUCCAGCUUCAGUCCCCACCUGGAGCUACUACUUGGACUAUUCCUCUCUGUUUAUUUCCAAGUUUGAGCUAAUAAACACUUUUGCUAUGUUUA
This is a long non-coding RNA of Perca fluviatilis (European perch), 433 nucleotides long. RefSeq lists it as uncharacterized. The record is from RefSeq and is a predicted model, not a curated record. Lineage: Eukaryota; Metazoa; Chordata; Actinopteri; Perciformes; Percidae. The transcript is spliced from 2 exons.